AGUUAAAAUUUUCAUCCACUUCUACUGUUAAAAACUGGUGUGACUGAUGGAAUAACAAGACAGUUACACAUGGCACGUAACGUGUACCUCAUGUUGAUGUACAAAGGCCAGUUUUUAACAGUAGAAAUGGAUGAAAAUUUUAAUA
Non-coding RNA from Gossypium hirsutum (cotton), 145 nucleotides. The record is from Rfam. Lineage: Eukaryota; Viridiplantae; Streptophyta; Magnoliopsida; Malvales; Malvaceae.